CCCUUAGAUGUUCUGGGCCGCACGCGCGCUACACUGACGAAUGCAACGAGCUUAUAACCUUGGCCGAAAGGUCUGGGUAAUCUCCAAAUUUCGUCGUGAUGGGGAUAGAUUAUUGCAAUUAUUAAUCUUCAACGAGGAAUGCCUAGUAAGCGCAAGUCAUCAGCUUGCGUUGAUUACGUCCCUGCCCUUUGUACACACCGCCCGUCGCUCCUACCGAUUUAAUGGUCCGGUGAAGCGUUCGGACCGUGGCCUUUGGACGGUUCGCCGUCUGUUGGCUGCGGGAAGUUCGUUAAACCUUAUCAUUUAGAGGAAGGAGAAGUCGUAACA
Molecule: ribosomal RNA, 327 nt
Filed under: uncultured eukaryote
Lineage: Eukaryota
Description: partial 18S ribosomal RNA
Rfam family: Eukaryotic small subunit ribosomal RNA
Source: RNAcentral